GAGAGAGCGACUCUGCUGAGUACAAGUUCAGGUUCACAACAAACCAAGAAGGUGGAAGAUAUACUGGUUCACCUGGAGUCACUUUGUCUGUCACAGGUCUCCAGGUACAGAUACGUGGAUCAAGAUCAUGCCGUUCUGAAACCUGUACAUGGGCACAGCUGAAGUGUCACAGCAGUUGUAGCCUACCUGGUCGUUCUUCCUACCUCUGGUACAAGAAUGGAGAGAAAAUAAAUAAAGAAACAUCAUCUUCUUAUUCAGACUACUUUUAUCCUCCUGACAGCUAUUCCUGCGCCCUUAAUGCAUAUAAGGAUUCCCCCUCUCCUUCAGUGUGUGGCCAUGGACAUUCAUGCAACAC
Molecule: long non-coding RNA, 355 nt
Organism: Perca fluviatilis (European perch)
Lineage: Eukaryota; Metazoa; Chordata; Actinopteri; Perciformes; Percidae
Exons: 3
Source: RefSeq, a predicted model, not a curated record